RNAcentral lists this ribosomal RNA (253 nucleotides) under uncultured bacterium. Its description in RNAcentral is "partial 16S ribosomal RNA". It matches the Rfam family "Bacterial small subunit ribosomal RNA", at positions 524 to 776 of the family's 1533-position model. The record is from RNAcentral.
UACAGAGGUCUCAACCGUUGUUCGGAUUCAUUGGGCGUAAAGGGUGCGUAGGCGGCGGGGCAAGUCAGGUGUGAAAUCUCGGGGCUCAACCCCGAAACUGCACUUGAUACUGCCUUGCUCGAGUACUGGAGAGGAGACUGGAAUUUACGGUGUAGCAGUGAAAUGCGUAGAUAUUGGGAAGAACACCGGUGGCGAAGGCGGCUCUCUGGACCGAGACUGACGCUGAGGCGCGAAAGCGUGGGGAGCAAACAGG